Molecule: long non-coding RNA, 243 nt
Filed under: Malus domestica (apple)
Lineage: Eukaryota; Viridiplantae; Streptophyta; Magnoliopsida; Rosales; Rosaceae
Description: long non-coding RNA (MDOM_LNC012051)
Source: RNAcentral
CCAGGACAUAGGAAAGAGAAAGAACACACCAUCAUACAAACAAUUUCUCCAAAAAAAAAUAUUUAAGUAAUUAGUGUAUCUGUAUAUAUAGGAUAAUUCUUUUUGGGUGGUGUUAUGGCAACUCAAAAUAGUGAAAUUACACUCCUCUUAUUAAAAAUUCGAAGAGAUUCGAAUACUAAGAAAUUAUAAUGUUAACUAGCACUCCUCACAUUAAGUAAUAAGCAUAUAUGAUAAUUUUCUAUA